This 405-nucleotide ribosomal RNA is filed under the name uncultured bacterium. RNAcentral's name for it is "bacterial SSU rRNA". It matches the Rfam family "Bacterial small subunit ribosomal RNA", at positions 8 to 442 of the family's 1533-position model. The record is from RNAcentral.
AGAGUUUGAUCCUGGCUCAGAGCGAACGCUGGCGGCAGGCCUAACACAUGCAAGUCGAACGGACCCUUCGGGGUUAGUGGCGGACGGGUGAGUAACACGUGGGAACGUGCCUUUAGGUUCGGAAUAGCUCCUGGAAACGGGUGGUAAUGCCGAAUGUGCCCUUCGGGGGAAAGAUUUAUCGCCUUUAGAGCGGCCCGCGUCUGAUUAGCUAGUUGGUGGGGUAAUGGCCCACCAAGGCUACGAUCAGUAGCUGGUCUGAGAGGAUGACCAGCCACAUUGGGACUGAGACACGGCCCAAACUCCUACGGGAGGCAGCAGUGGGGAAUCUUGCGCAAUGGGCGAAAGCCUGACGCAGCCAUGCCGCGUGAAAAGGAAGGUCUUAGGAUUGUAAAAUACUUUCACCGG